GUUUUUGCCUGCAUGUACGUCUCUGUACCAUUUGUGUGUGAAGUGAAUGCAGAGGGCAGAAUAUGGUGUCACAGCCCCUGGAACCGAAUUGCGGGAAGUCGAGCAUCGGGGAGCCCGGGGUCUCACAGAGGGCAUGGCUCUCUUGGCAGCUGUCACACCCCAGGGCAGCGCUGCAGUUGCGCUGCACACAAUCAAUGCCAUCUUGGCUGACCAGGCUUGGGUUCCCAGAUACCCAGGGCCUUAGGCCAGCCGAGCCAAGCCAAGCCGAGCCCAGCCGAGCCCAGCCGAGCCCGGAAGAGAUGAGAAGACGAAAGAUGAGAGAAGAAAAGGGAAGAGAAGAGAAACAGCAUGUGUUGAGCCCAGAUGAGCACCCGAGAGACUCCACCUCAGAGCCUUGAGUCUGGCUCAAUGACAAUAACCUGAGUCUUUACGGUCCCCUGGAAAGAAGAGACACUGGAGACUGGGACUGUGCAAAGAGACCUUCGCUGAUGGCGACUACAUUUCUACCUGCACGAGCUUUCGGAAUACUCUGGAAAAGGACCAGCUCUUAGAAUGAAAUCGCCCCACCUGCCAGAGGACCCAGCAGACUGGUGCCCCAUGUGAGGAAUGUCUCUUCAAUGGAAGAACGCUGACAGGCCAAUCGAUCCUGGCUAAAGAUGGAUGUCCCUACACUGCAGAGGAACCUUGAGUGACUGUCCAGGCUGUCAGCUGUUUCUGUCAUUUCUAUA
Molecule: long non-coding RNA, 728 nt
Organism: Mesocricetus auratus (golden hamster)
Lineage: Eukaryota; Metazoa; Chordata; Mammalia; Rodentia; Cricetidae
Exons: 3
Source: RefSeq, a predicted model, not a curated record